CUUAAAAAUGGGGCAGCAGAUAGCCUAGUGGUUAGAGCAGGUAGCCUAGUGGUUAGAGCAGGUAGCCUAGUGGUUAGAGCAGGUAGCCUAGUGGUUAGAGCAGGUAACCUAGUGGUUAGAGCAGGUAGCCUAGUGGUUAGAGCAGGUAGCCUAGUGGUUAGAGCAGGUAGUCUAGUGGUUAGAGCAGGUAGCCUAGUGGUUAGAGCAGGUAGCCUAGUGGUUAGAGCAGGUAGUCUAGUGGUUAGAGCAGGUAGUCUAGUGGUUAGAGCAGGUAGUCUAGUGGUUAGAGCAGGUAGUCUAGUGGUUAGAGCAGGUAGCCUAGUGGUUAGAGCAGGUAGUCUAGUGGUUAGAGCAGGUAACCUAGUGGUUAGAGCAGGUAGCCUAGUGGUUAGAGCAGGUAGCCUAGUGGUUAGAGCAGGUAGCCUAGUGGUUAGAGCAGGUAGCCUAGUGGUUAGAGCAGGUAGUCUAGUGGUUAGAGCAGGUAGCCUAGUGGUUAGAGCAGGUAGCCUAGUGGUUAGAGCAGGUAGUCUAGUGGUUAGAGCAGGUAGCCUAGUGGUUAGAGCAGGUAACCUAGUGGUUAGAGCAGGUAGUCUAGUGGUUAGAGCAGGUAGCCUAGUGGUUAGAGCAGGUAGCCUAGUGGUUAGAGCAGGUAGCCUAGUGGUUAGAGCAGGAAGCCUAGUGGUUAGAGCAGGAAGCCUAGUGGUUAGAGACAGGUAGCCUAGUGGUUAGAGCAGGAAGCCUAGUGGUUAGAGCAGGAAGCCUAGUGG
Molecule: long non-coding RNA, 767 nt
Organism: Oncorhynchus keta (chum salmon)
Lineage: Eukaryota; Metazoa; Chordata; Actinopteri; Salmoniformes; Salmonidae
Exons: 4
Source: RefSeq, a predicted model, not a curated record